MicroRNA precursor from Oryctes borbonicus, 66 nucleotides. It matches the Rfam family "mir-2 microRNA precursor family". From Rfam's summary of the family: The miRNAs are transcribed as ~70nt precursors (modelled here) and subsequently processed by the Dicer enzyme to give a ~22nt product. In this case the mature sequence comes from the 3' arm of the precursor. The extents of the hairpin precursors are not generally known and are estimated based on hairpin prediction. NCBI's taxonomy places the organism in Eukaryota, Metazoa, Arthropoda, Insecta, Coleoptera, Scarabaeidae. The record is from Rfam.
GCUCUCAUCAACUGGUUGUGAUGUGCAUAUUUGGAAUCAUAUCACAGCCAGCUUUGAUGAGCGUUA